CCUACGGGUGGCAGCAGUGGGGAAUAUUGGACAAUGGAGGAAACCCUGAUGCAGCGACGCCGCGUGAGGGAAGAAGUCUUUAUGUGUGGAAAGCUCUAUUAGUAGGGAAGAAAAUGACGGUACGUGAUUAAGACUGCACGGCUAACUACGUGCCAGAAGCCGUGGUACUACGUAGGGGGCAAGGGUUAUCCGGAUUUACUGGGUGUAAAGGGAGAGUAGGCGGCAGGACAAGUCUGGAGGGAAAUGCCGGGGCUUAACUCCGGAACUGCUUUGGAAACUGUGCAGCUAGAGUGGAGGAGGGGUAAGUGGAAUGCAUAGUGUAGCGGUGAAAUGCUUAGAUAUUAGGCAGAACACCAGUGGCGAAGGCAGCUUACUAGGCUGUAUCUGACGUUGAGGCUCGAAAGCGUGGGGAGCAAACAGGAUUAGAUACCCUGGUAGUC
This 440-nucleotide ribosomal RNA is filed under the name uncultured bacterium. RNAcentral's name for it is "partial 16S ribosomal RNA". It matches the Rfam family "Bacterial small subunit ribosomal RNA", at positions 338 to 795 of the family's 1533-position model. The record is from RNAcentral.